Molecule: ribosomal RNA, 259 nt
Filed under: uncultured bacterium
Lineage: Bacteria
Description: partial 16S ribosomal RNA
Rfam family: Bacterial small subunit ribosomal RNA
Source: RNAcentral
GUCCACGCCGUAAACGAUGAGAACUAGAUGUCGGGGAUUAGCCCCUCGGUGUCGUAGCUAACGCGCUAAGUUCUCCGCCUGGGGAGUACGGCCGCAAGGUUGAAACUCAAAGGAAUUGACGGGACCCGCACAAGCGGUGGAGCAUGUGGUUUAAUUCGAUGCAACGCGAAGAACCUUACCUGGUCUUAACAUCCUCGGAACCCUACAGAGAUGUGGGGUGCCUUCGGGAGCCGAGAGACAGGUGCUGCAUGGCUGUCGU